This 1346-nucleotide long non-coding RNA is filed under the name Numida meleagris (helmeted guineafowl). RNAcentral's name for it is "lncRNA (ENSNMEG00000010269.1)". Lineage: Eukaryota; Metazoa; Chordata; Aves; Galliformes; Numididae. The record is from RNAcentral.
GUCGUGAAGUUUUACAUAUUGAUGGUGUGGUUUAUUUUUAUAUUCAUGCAUAUAUACAGUGUUACAUAUUGGUUUUACAAGCUAUUUUGUAUUGUAGAAAUGACAAUCUAUUUGUGAACUAAGUGGUAUGCCAGAGACUGUCGCUAACCCUGCUGUAGACUUCAAGAGCUGCUAUGAUGUAGGACUCACACUGAGCACAGGGAACAUGCCUGGCAUACAUCCUAUCUAUGUUCAGUCCAACUGUAACUGACGCUAUGAAAAAGGCACUUGGGUGGAGAACCUCCCUUACCUAAACUGUGCAUCUGCAUACACGAAGAAGAGGAUUAAGUAGGAAUUGUUCAUCAUGUCAGUGGAUUGCUUUGUCCAGAAUCUAGUCUGUGAGCAACUAAGAAGUACUGCGUAUUAAAAAUGCAAGAGGCUGUAGAAUGGUUAUUUAACAUAAGUGAUCUGCUUGGGAGGAUGACUGCAAUUUCCUAAUCAAGUUGUCUUAUGUUUUAAAAGAGGAAACACUUCUUCCAGAAUACUCUAAUCCUAUUUGAUGCAACUGUGGAUGCACUCAUUACCUAGCCUAAAUAGGUGGCCUUUUGUAACAACCCUUGAACUCCACUCUUCUUAUAAAGCCAAAAGUUCUGAAGGUUUACCAUGCCUGUUUUUUUAAAUCACCAUAUCCUUUUCUUGGUUUAAUAUGUUCCCUCCAGUUUCAGUGCCAAACUUUGAAAGCUGAGUGGACAAACUAGUAACUAUGUGUGGUUUACAGCACAGCUGCUAGCAAAUGAAUCUUACACUGGACCAAGGUCAUAGUAGUAUGGGGAAUGAAUGCCUGUUUCUUAUUUCUUAUAGCAAGAUAAAAGAUGCUGAAUUUGAACUGGAGGUGGAGGAGGCACAAAAUAGUGGAGUUGAGCCAGCUUUUCACAGCGUGCAGGGGCGGAGGGUCCUCUGUCUCUCGCUGAAGGUCCUUUACUUCUUGCCUCAGCCUUUUGGUCAAAGGAGAUUCUCAUUGUAAUAAUGCUAUUAGACUUCAGUCUGUGCUGGGCUAGUGAAGAUGCUGUGUAUUUGUUUUGGCAUUAAGGAAGUUUUGCUUCUGGUGAAUGGUCACAGAACUGGUUUUACUGAAACAACAAAAUGACGAUCAAAUGCUAGAGUGAGGCUGAAGCUACCUGGGUUCAGUUUCCUGCAGUGCCACAGGACUUCCUGUUAGAACAGUAAGACCACAGUAAGUGAUUUAAGUUUUUAUAUUAAAAUGCUGUUGGAAGAGAAAUACUUUACUUUGUAAAGUUUUCACUUGGUAAUGGAAAAAAUGAUUUUUUUUUUAAAUAAAGGAAUUCCUUUUUCAUAGAAUUUAUGCA